Molecule: long non-coding RNA, 729 nt
Organism: Stegostoma tigrinum
Lineage: Eukaryota; Metazoa; Chordata; Chondrichthyes; Orectolobiformes; Stegostomatidae
Exons: 3
Source: RefSeq, a predicted model, not a curated record
GACUGAAGAAUUCUGAGAUGCAGAGAGAUCUGGGUGCUGUCAUGCAAGAGUCACAACAAGACAAGAACCAAAUACAGCAGGUAAGUUUAAAAAAAAAAGCACGUCAGUCUUUAUCAUGACAGAAAUUGAAUACAAAAAUAAGAACAUUAUGCUUCUGUUAUCCAGGACAUCGGUGAGACAACAUCUCAAACACAGUUUUGGUCUGCCUACUUAAGGAUGUAAAUGUACUCAGAAGUAGUCACUAGACCAAUAUCUGGAAAUAAGCUGAUAAGUGACUGAAGUUCAUACUGGAUUGGCUGUCCAUUCUGAUCCAUCAGCUGGAACGGUGCAGUAGACAGAGUUGGUGCUUGUUGGGACACCUGUACUGUCGGAUUCUGAGAAGUAGCAGAGUCAUCGGCUUUUGACAGAGGAGGAAGCCUACUGCGAAUGACACAAGGAGUUGUUAAUGUUGAAGAAAUGUAACACAGACAUAAAUGAAAACGUGAUAAAUGCAGACCUCACCAGAUUGAGCUGAAGCUACAUGGUGCUUGAAAGGACUGAAUGAGGUUGGCUGAAAAUCAUUUGUUGAUGUUUGUGUUAUCAAGAAAUACCUGAAGGCAUUUUCAUGUGUCCUGUACUUUUGUAUUUUCUUACCACUUACUUACAUUAAAAUCCAUUCACUGUUCGUUAGCCAAUCCACUUAAUUGUCCAAUUCCCUGACAAUGUCUUGAAUCUUCUCUGUACCGGUUA